AGGAUGAACGCUGGCGGCGUGCUUAACACAUGCAAGUCGAACGAUGAAGGCUGGAGCUUGCUCUGGCUGGAUUAGUGGCGAACGGGUGAGUAACACGUGAGUAACCUGCCCCAGACUCUGGGAUAAGCGCUGGAAACGGCGUCUAAUACCGGAUACGAGCUUCCACCGCAUGGUGAGGAGCUGGAAAGAAUUUCGGUCUGGGAUGGACUCGCGGCCUAUCAGCUUGUUGGUGAGGUAAUGGCUCACCAAGGCGACGACGGGUAGCCGGCCUGAGAGGGGUGACCGGGCCAACGACGUGGGACUGAGACACGGCCCAGACUCCUACGGGAGGCAGCAGUGGGGAAUAUUGCACAAUGGGCGCAAGCCUGAUGCAGCAACGCCGCGUGAGGACGAAGGCCUUCGGUUGUAACCUCUUUAGUUAGGAAGAAGCGAGGUGUUUAUUCGUACUUCAUGACGGUACCUGCAGAAAAGACAACCGGCUAACGUACGU
RNAcentral lists this ribosomal RNA (490 nucleotides) under uncultured soil bacterium. Its description in RNAcentral is "bacterial SSU rRNA". It matches the Rfam family "Bacterial small subunit ribosomal RNA", at positions 26 to 506 of the family's 1533-position model. The record is from RNAcentral.